GGAGAAGUACCCAAGUCUGGCUGAAGGGACUGGUCUUGAAAACCAGGAGGUCGGGUAACCGGCGCGGGGGUUCAAAUCCCUCCUUCUCCGCCA
Molecule: transfer RNA, 93 nt
Filed under: Bacilli bacterium
Lineage: Bacteria; Bacillati; Bacillota; Bacilli
Description: tRNA-Ser
Rfam family: tRNA
About the family: Transfer RNA (tRNA) molecules are approximately 80 nucleotides in length.
Source: RNAcentral